Canis lupus familiaris (dog) is the source of this 1595-nucleotide long non-coding RNA. RefSeq lists it as uncharacterized. The transcript has 2 exons. Lineage: Eukaryota; Metazoa; Chordata; Mammalia; Carnivora; Canidae. The record is from RefSeq and is a predicted model, not a curated record.
GCCGAGGUCGCGGGGCAGGGUCGCGAAGGCCCGGCGCGGCGAGAAAGGCCUCCCUCGGCGCAAGCAGCGCGUGUCCCGGGCGUCUGAAGGCACCGGGUGCUGCAGAGCUUCUCUUCUUACGGCUCGGCCGUCCAGCUCUUGGUGCCGGGCAGGUCCCUUCAGCACCCCGGAUCUCAGGGGUCGGACUAGGGCUAGAAGACCACCCGGGCCCUUCCCGCCUGCGGACCUGCCUCCUUCCGGUCCCUGCGCAGGAAGGGCUUGUUUCCUGGGGAGCUCUCGGGGCUCACUAGGCUUUGGCGCUCGUGGAAAAGAAUGGGAAAGAGGGCCCUUUGGAACAAGAGUCAUUCAUUUACUUAUUGAAUUUACACCAGAAAGGAUUUAUGGUAGUUUACGGUCUAAAUAAAUUGGAAAAGUGCAGAGGUGGGUCAGAGUUGCAAAUUAGUAUAAUAAAGUUAGAUGAAGCCAAGAAUCGUUAAUACAAAGAAAGAAUGCAUGCUUUCAGUAAAAACCGGCAUUUUUGUUGGAAAGUUUUCUCAAUAUUUUAGAUUUAACCCAGAAAAGAUCCUUAGCAUAGUUUUAAUUGAGGACAUCCUGGGGAAAUUGUGGAAGUGGGAAACAGAAUUAACUACCCUGCAUAGUAAUAGGCCCCAGAUCUCUACGCAGUUUGUUUUCGGUAAACAUUUCUCCCCAAACAUAUUACUUGUUAAUUGUAAACGUUUUAAAUGGUCCAGGAAUGAAUAAUAAAGGGAAAGCCCCGCCUUAUCCAAACUCCACGGUAGUAACUGUAAAUUUCGUUGUGCGUUCAUUCACUAUCCCUUUCUCACUUGUGUUAAAAACUUAAGAAUGGAGUAUUUGAUACCAAAAACUUAAGACACGUGUAAGUUACGAAGCAAAGCAUACGAACCCAUUUUCCAAUUUAAGAAAUAGAAUAUUUCUGUUACCAAGAAGCUCCCAGGAUGCAUCUUCCUCAGGCAGUGGGUCUUUAUAGUAAUAGCUUCCUACCAUUUGUACUUAUUUUACUUGCUUUUUUCAACUAACAGCUGUAUUUUGAGCUUCAUCCAUAUUGAUGUGUGAGAUUGUGGUUAAUCAUUCAGUUGUGAGAGUAUAUCAUACGGUUUUUCUAUUCUUCUCAGUGGACAUCUGGGCAAUUCUGGAAACACGAGGACUGGCUGCUACACAUUCUUGUUACGGGUGGUCUAAUACAAGGAAUGGAAUUCCUGGAAUAUAUGGUAGAGGCCUCUUCAGUCUUCUAAUAUGAUGCCAAGUUGUAAAGGCAUUUCCAUCCCUACUGGCAAUUACACUCCUACCAGCAGAAACAUCAGUUCUUGCUCCACAUACUUGUCAACAUUUGAUAAUCAUCAGGAAGUUUAAUUUUUGAUUGAAUAGGGUAUUGAAAUGAUUUCCAGUAGCAUGUUGUCGAGGAGUGGUCAUCUUGUCUGUAAUUGUAAAGGGAAUGCAUUCAUAUUUCAAGUGUCAUAUUAGCUAUGGAUGUGCCUUUAUCAGGUUAACGAAGUCCCAUGCUAUGUCUAGAAGGGUUUUUUACUGUUGUUUAUGUAUUUGUCUGGUUUUUAAGACUGAAUAAAUCUUGAAAUUUA